This is a long non-coding RNA of Panonychus citri (citrus red mite), 1862 nucleotides long. RefSeq lists it as uncharacterized. The record is from RefSeq and is a predicted model, not a curated record. The transcript is spliced from 2 exons. NCBI's taxonomy places the organism in Eukaryota, Metazoa, Arthropoda, Arachnida, Trombidiformes, Tetranychidae.
AAAUUUUGUUUUCGAUUCGAACGCCCCCUGUUACCGCCAAGUUUAAAAUUCUUUUUCUGGAAAAUGAGAAAUUUUUUGUUCUUUUGUUAUUGUUUGAUUGUUUCUCGUUUGCGUGAUUAACUUUAAUUUAAUUGUUAUUGUUGUUAUUUUUUUUGUUUCGUUUGCGUGUUUAACUUUAAUUUCAUUGUUGUUUAAUUUGUUUUCUCUUCUCGUUCAAGGUUAAUUUAUUGACUUAUUGCUGUUCACGAUGGCGAUGAUGAUUUGGAAAAUGUUAAACUUUCAUCAUCAGAGGAAAAAGAUGUGAUAAUUUGAUUGUGAUUCUCUCAUCAGUCAUUCAGGGAAACAAUUCAAUUAAUAAUUUGAUUUUCUUUUUUUCUCAUUUCUCAUCACUAUCAGAAUAUCAUUUAAUUACCUGCAGACUGAUCAGAUUCAAUUUAAUUGUCUCUCUGUCUGUGUAAUGCCAAUUCUAAGAACCGGAAAUUGCUGAUUGGUAAUUAGUACAAACUACAUGCAUCGAUUGAGCAAUUUGAUUUGGAAAAUGUUGAAUUUAUGAAAUCAAUCAAACUCAAUCAUGAGCUGUAUUGUUGGUUGGCUGUUAAUUGUUACAAAUUUGCUCUCACUCUCUUGUUAACAAUUAUAAUGAUACUAAUGAUUACCGGCACUAAAAAAAACCAAUCAAUGGUGAUUGUUUUUUUUUUCUUGAAUAGAUAAUUUUUCUAUAAUUUGUUUUCAGGUUUGAUUGAUUGGUACAUAACUACUGAUAAAUUGCUGAUUAUUUCAAAUUGAAUGUUAAAAAACAAAGGAGCUUGUUGCCAAAUUGUGAAACAAUUUAAAAGAUGCGUAGUUAAUAUAAGACGUGAUCCAAUUGAUUUAGUUAAAAGUUCAAGGUAUUCGUUGAGUUCAUUCAUUGAAACAUCCAAACCGGAUUUACAGUUAACUUUAAUCCGCUCAAGUUUCAAAUUAAAUGAAACAAUUUGGAUAAUCAAGCAAAGUAAUUACUCAUCAAAUCUUUGAUCAAAAUCUCUUGGUUUUCUCGUGUUUAAAACAUAAUCAAUCCAGUCGAUGAAUUAAUUAGAUGAAUUUACCGAUGCAACUAAAUUAUGAUCACAUUGUGGCCUUGAUUGUCUUAAUUAAAUUAUAACAUUGUAAUGGAUUUUUAUUGAUCCUUCCUUGAACAUUUUGACAACCAUCAUCAUCAACAUCACGUGAUUAAGGGACAAUUAAGUUGUUUGUGAAUCAAAAUUUAUCUCAAUUACAAACAGUUUCCUGAAAAUAUUAAUCACUCGUAAUUAACACUCUUUUGUUGGAAAAUAGUGUUAAUUGAUUAAUCAUGAAUCCUUUCCACUAACACUCGAGGUGUUAUUUUUUCGCAAUUCUUUCCAAUAAUCUUUAAUUACUCGUAAUCUGAAUGUGAUUAACUACGUGAUAAAAAGAGACAAUGUAAAUCUCUUUAUUCCUGUUGCAUGAUCAUCUUAAUUAUUACAGUUAUUAAUUAAGCCGAAUAGGAUAUUUUUUGUAUACUUCUAUUGAUUUUAUUGAUUAUUGAACUUAAUUGCUCUUUGAAAGCAAUAAAAAAAUGAGAUCUUUGUCUGAUUCAUUAAUUGAUCAUGUAAUUAAUCACAUCAAUUAUUGAGUUCCAAGGUUAUCAACAAUCAUCAUCAUUAUCAACGAAAAAAAUCAUUGUUGAUUAGUCGUCAACUUUUUUUCGAUUUUCUCAGAAUCAAAAAGAGAAUCAAUAUUACAACAAUCAAAGAAGAUAAAUUAACCAACUCAGGAUAUAAUUUAGUAAUUAAUAAAUCAUCUGAAAAAUUUAAUGUUUUCUAUGAAAAUUGAUUAUAUUUUUCAAGGAUUUUCACAUUGAA